Molecule: ribosomal RNA, 1057 nt
Filed under: human gut metagenome
Description: bacterial SSU rRNA
Rfam family: Bacterial small subunit ribosomal RNA
Source: RNAcentral
AUUUAUGUCAAUUUUUAACAAGGAUGCGUUAUCGAGCUUUUUUGGCUUAUCUGGCGAAGAAGAUGAUUAUUAUGAUAACUACGAAGAAUAUGAAGAGCGCAAAGCAACGCCGCGUGAGUGAAGAAGGUUUUCGGAUCGUAAAACUCUGUUGUUAGAGAAGAACAAGGACGUUAGUAACUGAACGUCCCCUGACGGUAUCUAACCAGAAAGCCACGGCUAACUACGUGCCAGCAGCCGCGGUAAUACGUAGGUGGCAAGCGUUGUCCGGAUUUAUUGGGCGUAAAGCGAGCGCAGGCGGUUUCUUAAGUCUGAUGUGAAAGCCCCCGGCUCAACCGGGGAGGGUCAUUGGAAACUGGGAGACUUGAGUGCAGAAGAGGAGAGUGGAAUUCCAUGUGUAGCGGUGAAAUGCGUAGAUAUAUGGAGGAACACCAGUGGCGAAGGCGGCUCUCUGGUCUGUAACUGACGCUGAGGCUCGAAAGCGUGGGGAGCAAACAGGAUUAGAUACCCUGGUAGUCCACGCCGUAAACGAUGAGUGCUAAGUGUUGGAGGGUUUCCGCCCUUCAGUGCUGCAGCAAACGCAUUAAGCACUCCGCCUGGGGAGUACGACCGCAAGGUUGAAACUCAAAGGAAUUGACGGGGGCCCGCACAAGCGGUGGAGCAUGUGGUUUAAUUCGAAGCAACGCGAAGAACCUUACCAGGUCUUGACAUCCUUUGACCACUCUAGAGAUAGAGCUUUCCCUUCGGGGACAAAGUGACAGGUGGUGCAUGGUUGUCGUCAGCUCGUGUCGUGAGAUGUUGGGUUAAGUCCCGCAACGAGCGCAACCCUUAUUGUUAGUUGCCAUCAUUUAGUUGGGCACUCUAGCGAGACUGCCGGUGACAAACCGGAGGAAGGUGGGGAUGACGUCAAAUCAUCAUGCCCCUUAUGACCUGGGCUACACACGUGCUACAAUGGGAAGUACAACGAGUCGCUAGACCGCGAGGUCAUGCAAAUCUCUUAAAGCUUCUCUCAGUUCGGAUUGCAGGCUGCAACUCGCCUGCAUGAAGCCGGAAUCGCUAG